AGACCCGAAACCCGGUGAUCUAGCCAUGGGCAGGUUGAAGGUUGGGUAACACUAACUGGAGGACCGAACCGACUAAUGUUGAAAAAUUAGCGGAUGACCUGUGGCUGGGGGUGAAAGGCCAAUCAAACCGGGAGAUAGCUGGUUCUCCCCGAAAGCUAUUUAGGUAGCGCCUCGUGAAUUCAUCUCCGGGGGUAGAGCACUGUUUCGGCUAGGGGGCCAUCCCGGCUUACCAACCCGAUGCAAACUGCGAAUACCGGAGAAUGUUAUCACGGGAGACACACGGCGGGUGCUAACGUCCGUCGUGAAGAGGGAAACAACCCAGACCGCCAGCUAAGGUCCCAAAGUCAUGGUUAAGUGGGAAACGAUGUGGGAAGGCCCAGACAGCCAGGAUGUUGGCUUAGAAGCAGCCAUCAUUUAAAGAAAGCGUAAUAGCUCACUGGUCGAGUCGGCCUGCGCGGAAGAUGUAACGGGGCUAAACCAUGCACCGAAGCUGCGGCAGCGACACUGUGUGUUGUUGGGUAGGGGAGCGUUCUGUAAGCCUGUGAAGGUGUGUCGUGAGGCAUGCUGGAGGUAUCAGAAGUGCGAAUGCUGACAUAAGUAACGAUAAAGCGGGUGAAAAGCCCGCUCGCCGGAAGACCAAGGGUUCCUGUCCAACGUUAAUCGGGGCAGGGUGAGUCGACCCCUAAGGCGAGGCCGAAAGGCGUAGUCGAUGGGAAACGGGUUAAUAUUCCCGUACUUGGUGUUACUGCGAAGGGGGGACGGAGAAGGCUAUGUUGGCCGGGCGACGGUUGUCCCGGUUUAAGCGUGUAGGUGUGUGUUCCAGGUAAAUCCGGUUCACUUUAACACUGAGGCGUGACGACGAGGCACUACGGUGCUGAAGCAACAAAUGCCCUGCUUCCAGGAAAAGCCUCUAAGCAUCAGGUAACAUCAAAUCGUACCCCAAACCGACACAGGUGGUCAGGUAGAGAAUACCAAGGCGCUUGAGAGAACUCGGGUGAAGGAACUAGGCAAAAUGGUGCCGUAACUUCGGGAGAAGGCACGCUGACACGUAGGUGAAGUGAUUUACUCAUGGAGCUGAAGUCAGUCGAAGAUACCAGCUGGCUGCAACUGUUUAUUAAAAACACAGCACUGUGCAAACACGAAAGUGGACGUAUACGGUGUGACGCCUGCCCGGUGCCGGAAGGUUAAUUGAUGGGGUCAGCGCAAGCGAAGCUCCUGAUCGAAGCCCCGGUAAACGGCGGCCGUAACUAUAACGGUCCUAAGGUAGCGAAAUUCCUUGUCGGGUAAGUUCCGACCUGCACGAAUGGCGUAAUGAUGGCCAGGCUGUCUCCACCCGAGACUCAGUGAAAUUGAACUCGCUGUGAAGAUGCAGUGUACCCGCGGCAAGACGGAAAGACCCCGUGAACCUUUACUAUAGCUUGACACUGAACAUUGAGCCUUGAUGUGUAGGAUAGGUGGGAGGCUUUGAAGUGUGGACGCCAGUCUGCAUGGAGCC
This 1495-nucleotide ribosomal RNA is filed under the name Salmonella enterica subsp. enterica serovar Senftenberg. RNAcentral describes it as "partial 23S ribosomal RNA". It matches the Rfam family "Bacterial large subunit ribosomal RNA", at positions 711 to 2187 of the family's 2925-position model. Lineage: Bacteria; Pseudomonadati; Pseudomonadota; Gammaproteobacteria; Enterobacterales; Enterobacteriaceae. The record is from RNAcentral.